GUGGGCUCACGACACUCCUAGCUCACCUUCUCACUUCCCGAACCCUAGGCAGAAACCCUAGGGUACUCAUAGAAGACCCUGCGCCCUUUCUCUCUUCUUUUUUCUUCUCUUCUUUUCUUUUCUUUUCUCACACAGAAGGCCUUUCUCAUGCCACCCUUUCUCUCUGAGAAAGUCAUGUACAUGCCCCACCUUCUCUUUCCUUUUUAAAACAGUGCAAGACCGCAUCUUUACCGUGUCUUCACCGCAUGAGAGGAUAAAGCUAGGUGGUUGCUCACUUGAAUUCAAAUCGAAUUUGAAUUCAAAUGCCAACCAACCUAUCCUUAUCCGCUCAAGGUGAGAGAAGAGAGGGGCAUGGGCUCUUUGUGCGUGGAGAGUCUACAUGAGAAAUAUU
This 391-nucleotide long non-coding RNA is filed under the name Elaeis guineensis (African oil palm). RNAcentral describes it as "long non-coding RNA (EGUI_LNC062325)". The record is from RNAcentral. Lineage: Eukaryota; Viridiplantae; Streptophyta; Magnoliopsida; Arecales; Arecaceae.